CUUCUCUCCAAAUCCACUUGCCAACAAGCCAGCUCAGCCAAACUUAAGGGGAUGGGAAACAGAUUGGGUUCAGAUGAUUUCUUUAAAAAAGAAACCCAAACCAAUAAGCACGUACUGAGCGCUUGCAGACGCUGGGCUGUCACAUACACUUCCUCCUUCUCGCAGCAAGCAGGGCUGUGGCUGUCACCCCAGCCCAGGAGAGGGACGUGAGAGCCAAAGGAGUCAGCAUCACAGCCUGGAGACAAAGCUGGGAUUUUGACUGGAUGCCAUCUAGUUAGCUAUCAGAAAGUUCUCUCCAAGAGGGGAGAACACUAGUGUUUAUUUGUAUUUGCAUAAACAAACACUGAAAAAAUACGUAAGAAACUAAUAUGAAGAUGUUUUCAGAGUAAAUGAGCUUGAACACCUAAUUGAAACUGAUUUGAUAUCCAGAAUGUAUGUAAGGGUUUUAUUUUAUUUUCAAUAAAGAUAAUCCACUUACAUGACCAAAAAAAGUGAGUUCUUUCUGGUCAUGGCAUGGAAUUAGUCUUCUUCAACUUCUAUGUUUGGCUCCCAGUUUCCAGUACGACGAGGAAAACCACCUCCUUCUAUCACUCAGCCCCCAACUUGAGUGGGGAGAUGAAGCUGUGUCCUCAGGGAGCCGCAGUCUGAGGGAGCCCCAGUCUGAGGGGAGACACAGCCCCAUCCUCAGGGGGGUCCCAGUCUGAGGCGAGAUGCAGCCUUUCUCAGGGGGGCCCGGUCUGAGGGGAGAUGUAGCCCUGUCCUCAGGGAACCUCAGUCUGAGGGAAGACACAGCCCCGUCCUUAGGGGGCCUCAGUCUGAGGGGAGACGCAGAGCUUUGCCCUGAGGGAGUUCCCAAGCCCAGCUUCUCUGGGUCAGGUAAAAU
This 883-nucleotide long non-coding RNA is filed under the name Homo sapiens (human). RNAcentral's name for it is "HSALNT0106437". The record is from RNAcentral. Lineage: Eukaryota; Metazoa; Chordata; Mammalia; Primates; Hominidae.